UACGAAGGGUGCUAGCGUUGCUCGGAAUCACUGGGCGUAAAGGGUGCGUAGGCGGUUCUUUAAGUCAGGGGUGAAAUCCUGGAGCUCAACUCCAGAACUGCCUUUGAUACUGAGGAUCUUGAGUUCGGGAGAGGUGAGUGGAACUGCGAGUGUAGAGGUGAAAUUCGUAGAUAUUCGCAAGAACACCAGUGGCGAAGGCGGCUCACUGGCCCGAUACUGACGCUGAGGCACGAAAGCGUGGGGAGCAAACAGG
Molecule: ribosomal RNA, 253 nt
Filed under: uncultured bacterium
Lineage: Bacteria
Description: partial 16S ribosomal RNA
Rfam family: Bacterial small subunit ribosomal RNA
Source: RNAcentral